UACGAAGGGGGCUAGCGUUGCUCGGAAUCACUGGGCGUAAAGGGUGCGUAGGCGGGGCUUUAAGUCAGGGGUGAAAUCCUGGAGCUCAACUCCAGAACUGCCUUUGAUACUGAGGAUCUUGAGUUCGGGAGAGGUGAGUGGAACUGCGAGUGUAGAGGUGAAAUUCGUAGAUAUUCGCAAGAACACCAGUGGCGAAGGCGGCUCACUGGCCCGAUACUGACGCUGAGGCACGGAAGCGUGGGGAGCAAACAGG
Molecule: ribosomal RNA, 253 nt
Filed under: uncultured bacterium
Lineage: Bacteria
Description: partial 16S ribosomal RNA
Rfam family: Bacterial small subunit ribosomal RNA
Source: RNAcentral